This 1401-nucleotide ribosomal RNA is filed under the name uncultured bacterium. RNAcentral describes it as "bacterial SSU rRNA". It matches the Rfam family "Bacterial small subunit ribosomal RNA". The record is from RNAcentral.
AGAGUUUGAUCCUGGCUCAGAUUGAACGCUGGCGGCAGGCCUAACACAUGCAAGUCGAACGGUAACAGGAAGCAGCUUGCUGCUUCGCUGACGAGUGGCGGACGGGUGAGUAAUGUCUGGGAAACUGCCUGAUGGAGGGGGAUAACUACUGGAAACGGUAGCUAAUACCGCAUAACGUCGCAAGACCAAAGAGGGGGACCUUCGGGCCUCUUGCCAUCGGAUGUGCCCAGAUGGGAUUAGCUAGUAGGUGGGGUAACGGCUCACCUAGGCGACGAUCCCUAGCUGGUCUGAGAGGAUGACCAGCCACACUGGAACUGAGACACGGUCCAGACUCCUACGGGAGGCAGCAGUGGGGAAUAUUGCACAAUGGGCGCAAGCCUGAUGCAGCCAUGCCGCGUGUAUGAAGAAGGCCUUCGGGUUGUAAAGUACUUUCAGCGGGGAGGAAGGGAGUAAAGUUAAUACCUUUGCUCAUUGACGUUACCCGCAGAAGAAGCACCGGCUAACUCCGUGCCAGCAGCCGCGGUAAUACGGAGGGUGCAAGCGUUGAUCGGAAUUACUGGGCGUAAAGCGCACGCAGGCGGUUUGUUAAGUCAGAUGUGAAAUCCCCGGGCUCAACCUGGGAACUGCAUCUGAUACUGGCAAGCUUGAGUCUCGUAGAGGGGGGUAGAAUUCCAGGUGUAGCGGUGAAAUGCGUAGAGAUCUGGAGGAAUACCGGUGGCGAAGGCGGCCCCCUGGACGAAGACUGACGCUCAGGUGCGAAAGCGUGGGGAGCAAACAGGAUUAGAUACCCUGGUAGUCCACGCCGUAAACGAUGUCGACUUGGAGGUUGUGCCCUUGAGGCGUGGCUUCCGGAGCUAACGCGUUAAGUCGACCGCCUGGGGAGUACGGCCGCAAGGUUAAAACUCAAAUGAAUUGACGGGGGCCCGCACAAGCGGUGGAGCAUGUGGUUUAAUUCGAUGCAACGCGAAGAACCUUACCUGGUCUUGACAUCCACGGAAGUUUUCAGAGAUGAGAAUGUGCCUUCGGGAACCGUGAGACAGGUGCUGCAUGGCUGUCGUCAGCUCGUGUUGUGAAAUGUUGGGUUAAGUCCCGCAACGAGCGCAACCCUUAUCCUUUGUUGCCAGCGGUCCGGCCGGGAACUCAAAGGAGACUGCCAGUGAUAAACUGGAGGAAGGUAGGGAUGACGUCAAGUCAUCAUGGCCCUUACGACCAGGGCUACACACGUGCUACAAUGGCGCAUACAAAGAGAAGCGACCUCGCGAGAGCAAGCGGACCUCAUAAAGUGCGUCGUAGUCCGGAUUGGAGUCUGCAACUCGACUCCAUGAAGUCGGAAUCGCUAGUAAUCGUGGAUCAGAAUGCCACGGUGAAUACGUUCCCGGGCCUUGCACACACCGCCCGUCA